CUAAAAGUCAUGCAGUAAUAAUAGUAUAAGCAUAGCACGUGCAAACGUCGAGCCACAAAGAGCGAAAGAGAACAUGCCGAACGUGGAAACAUUUAAACAAUUUGCCAGGGGCCUUAAUUGUUUUCCGUUUCCCUGACGAUGGCUAGCUGAAAAGAUGGAGAGUUUCAGUGAAUAGAUUAGCGCACGCUCCAGCAGUCAUGACAAAAUCCCUCUUAACCCCGCGAGCCCGCCAUCAGAGCGCCCCGCCGCAGAUAUCACUCGCUCCUCAGUGUUAUUAAACACAACUUUGCAGAUUCAGUCCGCCGCGAGUGCCAUUUAGCCGCGCGGAGCAGGAAGGAAGCGUGUGGGGGAAUUACAGGUUGCCAGCGCGACUGACAGGGGUUGAUUUGGGUGUGCGGUGUGUGCAGGCCUCCCUCAGAGUGUUGUGACAGGCGGUCAUUACAGCACACGUCUCCACACUCAGCUGCACCAGACGCCGCAUGCAAAUGGACACAAAUGGGCUCCACUGUACGCCGGAGCUAAUGACACUUUCUGCUGCUCUUCUUUAAGGUGGAAGCUGAACGCUCGCGGCUGCACACUUCAUAAAUCAGUACAGUGAGGCCCAUUAGAGGACGGGCCCUCGGCAGAUCCUUCGGUCGAGAGCUGCAGGAAGUCAUGGAGGUUUGGCCCGGGACGCCUCCGGAUUACGAGCGCUUCUGUAAGCCUUCGAUUCUUCCAGCUCUAUUCUUUCCCCGGACUCGCCUGAGACCGCGCUCAAACGCCCAGCCAAUGAAAAAAAGAUUACGCCCGGAUACCAAGUGUCUCCCAUCGGCCCCUCAGGCCCCUGCUGGACGAGGAACAAUGUGUAGCAGUGUUCCAGGCGUUUGGGCAACCGGGGCAGUGUGAGCGUUCGGCGGGCUCAGCUGCGGAUGCAGAUUGUGGAAGCGGAGUGGAAGACUUGACAAAGCUGCGGUUUAAAGUGUCUGAGAGCCACACAGAGAGCAGAGCAACCUCGAGUCCCGCAGAGAGACAGACCGCACAGGGACUGAGAUUACCACACAAACAUCACAGAGACAGGACUCUAUACUGGUGCCUCGCAAC
Long non-coding RNA from Cyprinus carpio (common carp), 1080 nucleotides. RefSeq lists it as uncharacterized. The transcript is spliced from 2 exons. The record is from RefSeq and is a predicted model, not a curated record. Lineage: Eukaryota; Metazoa; Chordata; Actinopteri; Cypriniformes; Cyprinidae.